UUUCGAAUCAUUCACAAUGGGGGAAACCCUGAUGGUGCGACGUCGCGUGAGGGAUGAAGGUCUUCGGAUUGUAAACCUCUGUCACAUAGGACUAAACUUGAGAUUCAUAAUUUCAAUUGAAUUAACUAUGAGAGGAAGUAGUGGCUAACUCUGUGCCAGCAGCCGCGGUAAUACAGAGACUACGAGCGUUACUCGGAUUCACUGGGCGUAAAGGGAGCGCAGGCGGAAAUAUGUGUUAGAUGUGAAAUCCCGGGGCUUAACCCCGGAACUGCGUCUAAAACUAUAUUUCUAGAGACUUGGAGGGGUAAGCGGAAUUUGUGGAGUAGCGGUAAAAUGCGCAGAUAUCACAAGGAACACCGAUGGCGAAGGCAGCUUACUGGACAAGAUCUGACGCUCAGGCUCGAAAGUGUGGGUAGCAAAAG
Molecule: ribosomal RNA, 422 nt
Filed under: uncultured Opitutia bacterium
Lineage: Bacteria; Pseudomonadati; Verrucomicrobiota; Opitutia
Description: uncultured Opitutae bacterium partial 16S ribosomal RNA
Rfam family: Bacterial small subunit ribosomal RNA
Source: RNAcentral